RNAcentral lists this transfer RNA (65 nucleotides) under Plecturocebus bernhardi (Prince Bernhard's titi). RNAcentral describes it as "tRNA-Lys". The record is from RNAcentral. Lineage: Eukaryota; Metazoa; Chordata; Mammalia; Primates; Pitheciidae.
CGCUGUAAAGCUAGUAAGCAUUAACCUUUUAAGUUAAAGACCGGGAAUAUUAAUCCCUACAGCGA